Long non-coding RNA from Antechinus flavipes (yellow-footed antechinus), 790 nucleotides. RefSeq lists it as uncharacterized. The record is from RefSeq and is a predicted model, not a curated record. The transcript has 3 exons. Lineage: Eukaryota; Metazoa; Chordata; Mammalia; Dasyuromorphia; Dasyuridae.
CAUAACUUAGAAAUUGGACCUUGAAGACCCUUCAAUGUAUUUACUUCUCUGUAGUAUUAUACAUAUUUAGCUGAUGAGUUUAAUAUGAUCUAAUUGAGUUAUAUCAGGUAAAUAUAAUCCUGACAUCUUAGAGUUAGAGUUGGAAAAGACCUUAAAAUCCACCUAGUUAGCCUAACUUUCUCAUUCUACAAAUAAGACAACUAAGGCUUGAGUAGGUGAGCUGACUUGUCUCAUAAGAGGGCCAACUGCUCAGCCUCAUCUAGGCGGUGCUGUAAGUCCUUCACAGUCUGCUCAAGAUUCUUCUUCAUCUGCUCUAGGUUUCCUCAAAAAAGGGACAAGGCAAUGACUUUAUUAGCCCCAGAUUGGAUCACAGCUUAAGCUGUGUUUCCCCUGAUAUAGUCUCUUGAUGGGUUCUGUCUCCAUUGAUGGGGCUUACUGGCUGCUUAUGAACAUAAAAAAAUCCUACUCACAGAGAAUUGGCAUUCUUCAGACUUGGUUCAUGUCUGAGGACCACAACCUUAUUCUGUUGACCAGACGCCUGUCCAUAUGGAAACAAAGAAGGCUACAUCUACCUGAGCUAAGUGCUACUGUAUAUCCUUUCUAAGGGCUGAGUAAACCUCCUUUUGUUAACUGGUUAAUGACCUAUGUGUACCUUAUUUAGUCACACUUGACCUGGACAAACAGGAUGCCAACAUAUAUCAAUUUUAGAUGAGGGGAAAACCUUGAUCAAUAUUGGUCAUUUCACAGUGGAAUUUUUAGAUUGUUAAUUCUUUCCAAAACAAACACUGUU